This 455-nucleotide ribosomal RNA is filed under the name Enterobacter bugandensis. RNAcentral's name for it is "bacterial SSU rRNA". It matches the Rfam family "Bacterial small subunit ribosomal RNA", at positions 70 to 519 of the family's 1533-position model. The record is from RNAcentral. Lineage: Bacteria; Pseudomonadati; Pseudomonadota; Gammaproteobacteria; Enterobacterales; Enterobacteriaceae.
CACAGAGAGCUUGCUCUCGGGUGACGAGUGGCCGACGUGUGAGUAAUGUCUGGGAAACUGCCUGAUGGAGGGGGAUAACUACUGGAAACGGUAGCUAAUACCGCAUAACGUCGCAAGACCAAAGAGGGGGACCUUCGGGCCUCUUGCCAUCAGAUGUGCCCAGAUGGGAUUAGCUAGUAGGUGGGGUAACGGCUCACCUAGGCGACGAUCCCUAGCUGGUCUGAGAGGAUGACCAGCCACACUGGAACUGAGACACGGUCCAGACUCCUACGGGAGGCAGCAGUGGGGAAUAUUGCACAAUGGGCGCAAGCCUGAUGCAGCCAUGCGGCGUGUAUGAAGAAGGCCUUCGGGUUGUAAAGUACUUUCAGCGGGGAGGAAGGCGUUAAGUUUAAUAACCUUAUCGAUUGACGUUACCCGCAGAAGAAGCACCGGCUAACUCCGUGCCAGCAGCCGCG